CAGCCGUAAAACUAUGCUCGCUAGGUGUCAGGCAUGGCGCGACCGUGUCUGGUGCCGCAGGGAAGCCGUGAAGCGAGCCACCUGGGAAGUACGGCCGCAAGGCUGAAACUUAAAGGAUUGGCGGGGGAGCACAACAACGGGUGGAGCCUGCGGUUUAAUGGACUCAACGCCGGACAACUCACCGGGAACGACAGCAAUAUGUAGGCCAGGCUGAAGACCUUGCCUGAAUCGCUGAGAGGUGGUGCAUGGCGUAGACGUCU
RNAcentral lists this ribosomal RNA (260 nucleotides) under uncultured archaeon. Its description in RNAcentral is "partial 16S ribosomal RNA". It matches the Rfam family "Archaeal small subunit ribosomal RNA", at positions 748 to 1009 of the family's 1478-position model. The record is from RNAcentral.